RNAcentral lists this transfer RNA (72 nucleotides) under Daphnia carinata. Its description in RNAcentral is "tRNA-Val". It matches the Rfam family "tRNA". From Rfam's summary of the family: Transfer RNA (tRNA) molecules are approximately 80 nucleotides in length. Their secondary structure includes four short double-helical elements and three loops (D, anti-codon, and T loops). Further hydrogen bonds mediate the characteristic L-shaped molecular structure. tRNAs have two regions of fundamental functional importance: the anti-codon, which is responsible for specific mRNA codon recognition, and the 3' end, to which the tRNAs corresponding amino acid is attached (by aminoacyl-tRNA synthetases). tRNAs cope with the degeneracy of the genetic code in two manners: having more than one tRNA (with a specific anti-codon) for a particular amino acid; and 'wobble' base-pairing, i.e. permitting non-standard base-pairing at the 3rd anti-codon position. The record is from RNAcentral. Lineage: Eukaryota; Metazoa; Arthropoda; Branchiopoda; Diplostraca; Daphniidae.
UGAUAAGGAGCUUGAUUAGUUAAGCAAUUCAUUUACAUUGAAUUUAUAUUCGUGCAAAUCGAAUCUUGUUAA